CGUAGGGGGCAAGCGUUGUCCGGAUUUAUUGGGCGUAAAGAGCGUGUAGGCGGCCAGACAGGUCCGUUGUGAAAACUGGAGGCUUAACCUUCAGACGUCGAUGGAAACCGUCGGGCUAGAGUCCGGAAGAGGAGAGUGGAAUUCCUGGUGUAGCGGUGAAAUGCGCAGAUAUCAGGAAGAACACCCGUGGCUAAGGCGGCCCUCUAGUACGGUACUGACGCUGAGACGCGAAAGCGUGGGGAGCGAACAGGAUUAGAUACCCUGGUAGUCCACGCCGUAAACGAUGGGUGCUAGGUGUGGGGGGUGUCGACUCCCUCCGUGCCGAAGCUAACGCAUUAAGCACCCCGCCUGGGGAGUACGGCCGCAAGGCUA
Molecule: ribosomal RNA, 372 nt
Filed under: uncultured organism
Description: bacterial SSU rRNA
Rfam family: Bacterial small subunit ribosomal RNA
Source: RNAcentral